CUAUAAGUGGUCCUAUUGGCAGAAGUUCCGGAAACAUGGUGAAUGCGUCAGACUCGAGCUCAUAUGUUGAGUUACAAAAGUGGAAAUUUACCGCCAUCAUUGCUCUGCUGUUUCUUUCCAGUAAAUCAAAAAAAAUCUUUUGCGUGGUCAAGUCACCAAUAUGUGCCCAAAAACAGUCUCUAGAGUUCAUUUCAGGCAUCUUUGGUGCAAUUCGAAACAUCUGCAUGCUCAUAGGAGUUCCUGAAGUUGAAUACAAAACAAAGAAAAUAACAGUAGCAUAAAGUAAACUACUACUAUGACAUGCAUCAAAAUUAAAGUUUGCUGGAGGAAAGUAAGGAAUUAAAUGACAUGGAAUCAUACCGUGACUGUCAAUGAUUCCAUCAUCAAUAAGUUUGGGGAUACGAAAUACAAAGGCCACUGAUGCUGCCGAUGAAGGCCAAAAGACAGCCCCCCUGACGUUCAUCUUUUUUGCUACCUCCAUAGACCAACCCGUGUUCCCAUCUGCAAUGAAACAAUCAAUUUUUUCAUCUUCUCUACUGUUGAUCUCUUCUAUGAGCUUCUCCAGCUUCCCCGGCAUAACCUGUAAACAUUUUUCAAUUAGCUUUCCCAAAUCGUUUCUAUCUUCCCAGGGUUCCAUCCCAUCUGGGAUCGAAACCAAACGGAUUUGCUCCGCAAGAUAAUUCUUUCCCUCCAAUGAUUCCACUACCCGCUUGUGAUCAUACUCCGUAUUAACGAAUGUGACUCGGAAGCCAUGUUUUGCCAGACAUUGCGAAAACUCCAGUAAAGGAAUUACAUGGCCCUGUGCUGGAGCAGGCAUCACCAAAACGUGUGGACGGCUCAUUUUCUUUUUUAUUUUUACCUCACUGAUUCGGUUUCUAUCAAUAUAUAAUAUUAUAAUUUGCAACACACGAGUGGUGUUGAUUACGGGGAGGGUUGCAGGUUGGGGCCGGGUUUUCUCAAGAUCAGAUCCAUAUAAUUGAUACUAGAUCCAGUUUUGUGAAUGUUCAUCGAAUUUGAACGGGUUUGGGCCUGGGCCUGACUUGGGCCUUCAAUAAUUUUGUUAAAUAAAUUUUUAAUUAAGCUAUAUGUUAAAAAAAUAUUUAAAUUAAGAUGAUUAUUAUUAUUAAACAAAAAAAAAAUAUUAAUUGCUCCCCUGAAUGGGCCUAGGUCGGUCACCUCUGAGCAAAUAUUUGCAUUUAUUUUUCUUCAUUCCUUUUUCUCUUCUUCUUAUUAUUUAUUAUUGUAAAUUAAAAUUAUUUAUUUUGUAGAUAUUAAUUAUGUUUAUGUAUUGUAAUUUACAUAGAAACUUAAGACUCAUAUUUAUUAAAAAUGAUGUUAAUCCAGAAUGGAUCAAUGGAUUUAACUCUUUCAAUUAAAAAUGAUUUUUUUAAUUUUGUUUUAUUUUUUAAUUUAUAAAUUAAAGAGCCUAGGUUUUUUGCAAAAUCCUUUGACCAGGGCACUCAGAGUGGGUUUUAAAUUUUUUAGCCAUAUCCAUGAUUUUAUGAUGCUAGCUCCAACCUAUACUUUUUUGCAGAUCCUAAUUAAGAGUGAUAUUCUAGCUUAAGAUUUUUAUUUCAAUUCUAUUUGAGUCAAAUGAAAUAAGUAUAAGUUUAAAAAUAUUGAUUUAUUUAAGAAAUAAGUGAAUUUAUUUUGAUUCAUUAAAUAAACGAUUAAAUCUAGGUUUGAGUUCACUUAUUCGAUUAUUCGGUUAAAAUUUAUUUAUUAAUCAAGCCAUAAAUAAAUAGAAUAAUAAAUGACCUUUUUAACAUAAUUACUUUUUUACCAUUAAAAUUCAAAAAUCUUGUUAGAACAUUUUCAAGGUAUACGGUUAGUUUUGUAAUUAUGAAAGAUAAUAAGCCAAACAAGAAAAUGAAAGCAAAGGCAUCAUUACUCAUUAGCCGACCCUAGCUCCACUCUUCAGCACUUGAAUUUGAACACCUGUUUCUUUAUUUCCCAAAUGAAAACGAUCGCCAAACCAAACACUCCCAAAAAAUCAAAUCAAUGGUCUCAUCCAAACUUUUUCGACAAGGUUCACUUCUCUUGUCUAUGGCAAUGACAAGACUUUUUUUUUUUUUUUUUAUUACAUGAGAUUAUUGCUUAAAUUAUAGUUUAAAUUACAACUCAUAUUACAUGAGAGUAUAAUUGAUAUGUACAAUCAUAUAUUUAUACUGAGUCCUGUUGAUAUUAAUGCUGAUAUGACACCGCUCAGAUUUUUAACCCUCUCAAAUAUUCGAGGGAUGUCAAACUCCCAUCCUGGGAGAAAGACUCACUCGAACUCAAACGCUCCAAAAAAAAUAUUUAAAUUAAACCCCUACAAUGCGAUUGCGGAAGCUCGAACCUCUUCCCUCACAAAUGUGAGGGAGGGGUUUUAACCACUUGGGCUUACAUUACAAGACCUUGAAUGGCUACAAUUGGGAUUCUUUUGCUGCUUUUGUCCCCCGCGUGGGAAUUAUUGAUCUCAAUGUUUUGUCGAUUACAAAACAGUGAUUAAGCCUGCUAUUCAGCUUAGAGAUGGCAAAAUUUGGAUUCAAAUUUCGAUGUAACACACAUUUUGAAACUGAAAAAGGUUCAAUAUAGUUACUGCUCCCUGUUGGCAAAUAUGAUAUCAAAGACAGAUACACAAAUAGUCAAAUAUCGACCUGCAUAGGUUAAAAAAAUCAAAAAUGAAAAUGAAGAAUCAUAAAAUUGCAGCAAAUUUAAAUAGCCGUGCAUUCAAUUUCAAAGCAUAAAUGACAUUGAUAUCAAAUCCAAAAUUGAAAGUUUUCCAAAUGCAAAGGACAGAUAAGCCCAAGUGUAAAAGAAAACUAUCAAAUAUCAUUGUAAAUUUAAAUACCCAUCAUACAGAUUUCACCACCUGAAUUUAGGGUAAUUUUUAGAGGCUUCUCUUGAGAUUUGAUGUAUUAACACUUAGAUAGAAAGUAUAACCGUAAUUAUAAAGGCAUCCCCGUCUAUUGUAUUUCCAUUCAAUGACUGUUAGCAGAUCAAUGAAAUGACCAAAAUACACCCUAAAUUUGAAAACACUCUUAUAACAACCACUAGGGUAUUGUUCGUUAAUAGAAUAAAAUAUGUUUUGCUCCUAGUACACGGAUAAAAUAAAAAUAAAUAAAUAAACCAUAACAACCAAAUACAUUACAUACUCAUUAAUUGGAAAAAAAAAUAAAAAAUAUUGGUGAAGAAUUUAACAAUUUCUGAACUUCAAUUAAGAAAAUCAUAUUUGUUUCAAGCAGUUAAAAAAUAAAAAUAGUAUUUCUAUCACAAAACACUCCAUUCUUAACAUUUUUUUUUUCUUAUAGUUCUAUUGAGAUUUACAAAACAACAUAACAUUAGAAAAGAAAAUAUAUAGAUUUAUAGUUGAAGUUACAAACACAAAAAUGUACCAAGUGCAAAAAACAAUUUGAUACAGAACCAACUGAAGAGCUUUUUUGGUUCUUAAGAAUGCUACCAGUUGCACAAUAUUUUGCAGCCAUUUCCUUUGCCUUAAGAAAUUCUUGUCCAACUCUAACUUCAAUCAUUGCCCUUUUCUCUUAUGCUUCUUUGUUUAGUAAAAUCUAUCUUAUUUUUCAUUUUUUAAGCAUAUUCUACCUUCUUCCUUUCUAAUAGUUCCUGUUAAUUACUCAAUAUGUUGAAGAAGAAUCUUAUUAUUUAUAAAUAUGGAAAUUAUCAUUGCACCACUUUUUUUUGCCUUAUAUAUCCAACCACCAUAAAAUUCUAACAUGUUCUCUACACUACAUUUCUUUUUAAAUUUGUAUCAACUAGCCACUUUCUAACUAGCACCGUUAAAUAAUUUAAAUGAAAUGAUAAUUUUACCCCUAAAUAAAUUAAAAGACAUUUUAUCUUAUAAAAGAUUUGAAAAAUAAAAAAUUAUAAUUAUAAAAAUAACCUAAGUUUAAUUAAAAAAUAAAUCCCAAAAUUAGAAUUUUUAUUUUUAAUAAAAAUCUAAAUAAAAAUUAUAAUUAUAAAAAUAAUUGUAAAAUUUUGGGAUUUAAUAAAAAUCCCCUAAAUUAUUAAAAUUUUGGGACUUAUUUUUUAAUAAAUAAAUUCUGUUAUUUUAAUAAAAUUUUGCAAAAUUAUAAUUUUUAAUAAAAAUAAUUAUUAAAAUUUAGCAAAAUUUAAAUUAAAUAAAAAUCAGUUGAGCACCUCUGUUUGGGAUUUAUUUAUUUUAUUAAAUUUAGGGGUAUUUUUAUAAUUAUAAUUUUCUUAUUUUUCAAAGUUUUACAAAUAAUAUGGUCUUUUAAUUUAUUUAGGGGUAAAAUUUUCAUUUCAUUUAAAUUAUUUAACGGUGUUAGUUAAAAAGUGGCUAGUUGAUACAAAUUAAAAAAAAAAAAAGGGGGUGCAGAGAACAUGUUAGAAUUUUUUGAUGGUUGGAUAAACAUAAGGUUGGUGCAGAGAACAUAUUAUAAUUUUAUGAUUGUUGGAUGAACAUAAAGCAAAAGAGAGGUGGUGCAAUGAUAAUUUCCCUUAUAAUAAUGUGAGAUUAACCGAAAGCACACUAAAAUGCCAACCCAAAGGACUUUUAUGGUUGUGGGGAAUUCUUUUAAAAACAAAAGCAAUUAAAAUUGAGCUUAUAUUAUGUGUAAAAAAAAAAAAAGAAGGGUGAAUCGGCAUUAACACAUAAAUAAGUAAUGCAUUUCAGGAUAAUCAAGAGCUCCAUAAGUUUGUUUCUAGGCAAAAAUAUAUUUAAUUAAACAUAUCAUAGCAAAGUCAGUAUUUCAUUUUUAAUCAUCUCAUAACAGAACGAAAUCCUAAGCAAUUAUUAGGAAAGAACUAUAAUGAAUAGUGUUUAAAUGAGAAAUCAAACUCAAAGUUUUAUGAAAUUUAGAUCAAACAUAAGUUUACGGACAAAGACUUAUAGUAUCUGGAUAUUCACAACUAGUGCACACUGAUCAAGUUACAGACAGAUACACAAUAUAUAUAUAUAUAUAUAACAUUUAAAACCCAUUUAAAUCGUAUUUGCGAAUAAACUCACUUAAAUCUUAAAUUGUAAUCACAAAUACGAUUCCAAAAAUUAAUUUCAUUAAAAAAAUCUCAAUUUUUUUUAUUUAAUUUUAUUAUAAAAAUUUGGAAUUAUAUUUGCGAUUACAAACCUAAAACCCACUUUUGUUUAACGUAGAAAUCACAUGAAAAUAAUUGAUUUAUAAUACACAAUGGUUUGUUUAGCUCAUCACUAUUGCAAAUUACACUAAAACACAUGCAACAACUUCUUUAACAACUCAAACACUGCAUUAAAUCCAUUUUCAAACACAACAUCAAAUCAACCAAAAGGCUCUAACUUUAACAUUAUUUGAAAAUUUUCAACUUUUAUGAGGUUUAAUAACUCAUUCGUUCCUUAACUGUCGCCAGCAAUGGCCAACCAACGAUAGCAUUUUCCCGCCGCCAUCACUUCGUUGUUCAUCACUCUUCUUUCAAACUGGGGCUUCUUCGAAUUUGAGCUUCAUUUGGCGAGGUUAGAAGCAUAAAGAGAAAAGUUUGGGCAUGUUUGAGACUUUGAGUGGAUGAGUUGAUCGCUAAUUAGCUUGUGUUUGGAAGAUGAAAGAGAAGAUAUGUCCAAUGCAUCUUUGGAACCAGUGGAUAAUGAAGUGCUCAACGGUCAACUCAUCAUGAGGCUGCUUUUGAUUUUUUCAAAAUUUUAGAUAGUUUUUUUUAUGAAAUUACCCUUAUUCAUUGACAAGAUACUAAAUGAAAUAUAAACGGCAGGGGAGAUAUUUAAUAGUGCGUUCAUACUUUUUAUCUAAGUGUUAAUAUGCUAAAUCUCAAGGAAAAUCCCUAAAAAUUACCUCAUGAAUUUAAAUACCUUUUUACUUGUGCUUUUAUGCUAGUUAACAAGCUGCUAUGUUACCAUUGCAUGUAAUAAGAAUGUUAGUUUAGGUUAAAUUUGGGGUUUUAACACUGUAGAAGUGUCCGAAUAUUGAUGAAAAGUUGCUUGUUUUGAUCUAAUUUCCAUGUGAGUAAGUUGAUUGUUUCAUUCUAAUUUCCAUGUGAUUAAGCUAAAGAAACAAUUGCAAGUUAAAAUUUUUCGGUUUUUAUGUGAUUUUAAUCUUUAAAAAAAUGGGUUUUAGGUUAUUUCCACCAUUCUUGAACCUGUGUUUUGAUGUGAAAAACAAUGUAAAGUUCAAAUUGGUGUUAAAAAUAUUUGUAGGUUAUUUUGAUGUUAAAAAAGAGUUUACAUCUAUAAAUCAAUUUUUGAAUUGCAAUUGAUUAUUCCAUUAUUAAGAUUUCGCAUACGUUUCCUUGAAAUUCAGGGGAACGCACUUUAUUGAAAUUUGAUUGUUAUAUUGGUAAUUUCUAAGUAUGGAUAGAUUUAAAUAAAUGUGUUUCCUUGAAAUUUGAAUCAUUGAAGUGAUCUCUAUAAGGAAUUGUAUGCUUGUUAUAUUUUUCUAUGGUUGGACAGCUGCGAUUUGUAAUUACAUUUUUCUUUAUAAAGGAAUUCCCUUAUGGAGGAUGAUGAGAUGCAAUAGUUUCAUGUUUUGUAAAGUUUCAUCAUGGUAAUAGCGGGUAGGUCUGAUCAAACUUCUAUGUUGUAAGAAAAUUAGAUUCUGAUUAAUUUGAGAUUGAAUGCGUGAGGUGGGGAAUAUUGAAUUUUUGAGGAGGGAUUGUUUUUUAUUUGUGCUUGUUAAGGGUAAAAAUUAUUUUGGCAGUGGUUAGCUUCAUAGUUUGUUGCUAGAAAAAUUAAUAUCGAAUUAAGUUUGAUUCUUAAAACAAGAAAAAGUAGAGUAUGAGAAUUUGAUUCUUACGUUUUAAUAAUAUAUGUGUUAUUACAUUGGUCAUUAAGUUUGGAGGCUAAUUUCUUCUUAUGAAAUAUUAUAUCUUAAUAUUUUGUACUAUUAUGUUAUAUGUGCACAUUAAACUCUUAUUAGUGAGGUGAGUCAUCAUGCUUGAAAUUUUUUGAACUUGGUUUCUCUAUAGAAUUGUAUUGAUUUCCUUUAUAAUCCCCACAUGUUUAGAUCCAAUUUGCCUCAUGAUCUUUUAUUUUAUUACCAUACUGUGUAAGAAGACUUACUUUAAAUUACCUUUCAACUUGGUACUGUGGAUUCUCUUUGUUUUUAUGCUAAAAGCUUUUGUGCUCUACUCGUAGGUGUUUUCAAGUUGGCGUUGUUCCUUGAUACAGCUUGAAGGAUGGUUUUUCUCUCUCAGAUUUUGUCUAUGCUUUCCUGAGAAUGUAGUGAUUUCAUUUCCAUCAAGAUGCAAGUAUACCUAAAAAAAAUUAAGAUUUUAUAAUUUUAAAUAUUAAUUAGUUCUCAUAUAUGUGUGUGUGCGAGCGUGUGUGUCUAUCAUCAGUGCAAUAGCAAUUCCUUCAUUGUGGCUCUGAGUCGUUGUUGAUCUGCUUGAUGUUUUUGAACUUUGUGAAUCCAUGAUUUCAAUUUGAUUGUAAUAUUUAUAACUCUGAAAUUGAAUGUAGAGUUGAGCCAUGAAUAAUAGACAUAAUUUGUGUGUACCUUGGGAGGCAAAUGAAGCAUAUGCGGGGUGUGAGAGAUGGUUUGGAAAUGUAACAUAUUUAUAAACAUUGAUCUACCAAUAUAACCUUUAGUUACCAUAUCUUUUUUUAGAAAAAAAAAAAAUCGGGUUGAUUGGUACUAUGGGUAUUUUGGUCAUUUUAACAGUUCACUAACAGUUAAUGACGGUAGGGGAGGUAAGUGAGAGUACAAAGAAACUCGCUAUUUAAGUGUAAUUACCUCAAACCUCAGGGGAGGUUUCUAAAAAUAACCCCCAAAUAUUGAUAACACAAAUUCUUUAUUAAAGAAAAAUAAAAAAAAAGGGAAUUAUUGAUAGUACCACUAAUUCAAGCUUGAAUCAGUAAUUUUUGUCAAACCUUUGGUUACCAUAUCUUUUUGUUCUUUGGGUCCGGAUAUAUUUUCAAUAGCAUAAUCGGUAAAUCUCUUAGUAUAAUCAUUUUGUAUAUGAAAAUUUUGCAUUUACCCUUAAACAAUAUUUUUUUCUUGUCAAUAUUUUGGGCCAAAUGGUAAAACUAAGAAUGAGAAAUUCAUUCUCCCUUAAUAAAAUUAAAUAUGCAUAAUUGAAUCUUCUACAUUUUACCCCUUUUGUGCAAAGAAUCUUGGAAUCAAUUUGAUCUUUAAUCCAGGUCUUUGUGUAAAUUAAACUCAUGUGCUUUUAAAUAUAGAAUUUUGAUUGAAUGAUCUACUAAGUAAUAAUAGAUGUAGCUAGAAAAAGAAUUUACAUUUUGAUCUCUCAGAGAAUACAAGCAAUGCCCCUUGGGGUUUGUCCCCAACCUUGAUCAUCAUCUUCAUCAUUUUUAGAUGAUUAUGAGAGGAAAAGCAACUGGCUCAAACGUUGUAACAAUGAAGUGUCCAAAUUUCAAGCUGCGAUGGCUUUUCUUGCAGCUCUGAGUAGGCCGUAUAAGCUCCCUUGGCCCUCUCAAUUUUCAUUGCAGCAUCGUGUGCCUCUGGCAUUUCUUCACUCACUUCCUGAUCUUCUACCGAUACCGAUAUUCCUUCAUCACUUAGAACCUCAUGUUUUCUUUCUGCUGCUGCCAUAUUCAAAUAUUAGUACCAAUAAGCCUCGGUUUGUUCAUAUGUAAGAAGGUGUUUCGGUAUCAUUCUUUUUAACUUAUUUGUCUUCUCGCUUUUAUAGCAAUGCUAAUUUUAGCAUCGCACUCUGCUACAACUCAUGCUGAUCAAAAUGUUUCAUAUGAUUUCAAUUUUCCUCGUCCCCUCUUUUGCAUAGCACUGAUCGAAUUCCUAGUAUAGAUUCCUUCAUCUGCAGCAAGGCGUUCUGAGAAGUGCGCAAACAUCCAAGAUCCUCAAAGAUCCAUUCAACAGCUCAUCAACCCUUUUCUUCUUCUGGUGGACGUGGGCUAAAGCUUGUUGAACGGGGGGCAAUUGAAGUAUUUUUUUUCUACAGAAUCUCAUGAAUCUUGAAGGCAGUUCAAUUCAUGGCCUAAUGAUGAAGUAGAAGCAGCUUGAGGAGUCCUUAAUAUUCUCAAAUGCUCUUCAACUUCUGAAGUCUGUGGGUGUGAUCUCGUGGAAAGCUGUUUGGUAAGAGGCAGCCAUCGCUUUUGUUGCUGUGAAUUAGAAGACUAGAAGUUGAUUACCCUGUGCUCAAAUCUCAAAAUGUAUAGCACGAGAUGAGGGAACAACAGGUAUCUCAUCUUCUUAAAAUAAAAAGAAACAAUAACAUGAUUUCAAGCUUGAUCUAAAUAGUAUAUCGGCUACUUUUAGGCUCAGUCUCCUCCCAAACCAGCAUCCUCUCUCAGUUUUUUUAGCCGCUAAUCUCACUAGUAUCUUCUCGUAAGCUAAUACUAAAUAAACAAAUGUUUCCGAGUGAUCCAUAAAAUAAGCAAUACAAGGAUGGCAUCAAUUCUGUUUCCUCUUCUAAAAUGCAAGAGACGGUAAUCCAGUUUGGCUUGCCUCCCCGCGGGAAACGGGGUGGCUGUGAAACUCGUGCGUCCUUGCAGAAUUGAUUUAUUUGAACUGGAUAUAAUAUGCAAAAUCUGCAGUGCAUGGAUGGAGUUGAGGCUGCACCUUGAAUGCAUGGAUGGGUAGUUAAGUCGCCAAAUUAAAACAGGCCCAAAAAGGAUCCGCAGUGUUCAUUGCAGGCAUAUUUGGUGCCAAAUGAAUCACUUGUUUCUUAAGAGAUAUUCAUUGUCUGCUAUGAAAAAAAUUACCAAAAUAGGAAAACAAAUUAAAUUAAAACUCAAUUAAAUAAAAUAAUCCUAAACUCUAUAAACUUAAUAAAAAAACUUAGAAGAUAGAUGUCACAAUGGCCAAGGAAUUCUUAUAUAAUUGUCUAUGAAGGUAGUAUUUUUUGAAUUAGCUGCCCAGUACCUGGGAGCCAUGUGCCAGUGCUUAUGUCUUUACCCAUUGGAGGAAAUUCUGAAAUGUCUUGUAAGAGGAACCACCUUCUCUGACACUACUGAUGGCUUUUUCCUUGAGUUCCAAAGCCCGUGCUUUAAAAUAUUGAUCACCAAGCACUUGAUCCACCUUGUUCUUAAUUUCUUCUCUUGUAAUGAUGCCACUUUCGUCUCUGUCAAACUUCAAUCCCACCUUCCAAAAAUCACAAAUGUAUCUCUCGUUCAGGAAUUGAUCAGCAGAAUAUGGCCAGCACAAGAAAGGAAUGCCAUUGCUGACACCUUCCAUGGUGGAAUUCCAACCACAAUGGCUCAGGAAACAGGCAAUAGAAGGGUGGUUAAGAACCUUCUGCUGAGGUGCCCAGCUGAUCAUCUGUCCUCGAGCAGCAACUCUCUCUUGAAAUCCUUCUGGGUAUCUAUCAUUUGCAUCAGUAGUAAUAUCUGGCCUCACAACCCAUAAAAAUGGUCUGUUGCAAAGUUCUAGUCCCAAUGCUAAUUCUUGAAACUGAACUUGGUCAAGAAUUGUAAGGCUGCCAAAAGCAGCAUAAAUGACAGAGCUUGGUUGCUGUUGGUCUAGCCAUUUCAAACAGUUUGAAUCUUCGCGCCAGAAGUAUCCUGCUGAAUUCCCUUGGCGGUUGCUUGCUAUAAGUGGUCCUAUUGGCAGAAGUUCCGGAAACAUGGUGAAUGCGUCAGACUCGAGCUCAUAUGUUGAGUUACAAAAGUGGAAAUUUACCGCCAUCAUUGCUCUGCUGUUUCUUUCCAGUAAAUCAAAAAAAAUCUUUUGCGUGGUCAAGUCACCAAUAUGUGCCCAAAAACAGUCUCUAGAGUUCAUUUCAGGCAUCUUUGGUGCAAUUCGAAACAUCUGCAUGCUCAUAGGAGUUCCUGAAGUUGAAUACAAAACAAAGAAAAUAACAGUAGCAUAAAGUAAACUACUACUAUGACAUGCAUCAAAAUUAAAGUUUGCUGGAGGAAAGUAAAGAAUUAAAUGACAUGGAAUUAUACCGUGACUGUCAAUGAUUCCAUCAUCAAUAAGUUUGGGGAUACAAAAUACCAAUGCCACUAAUGCUGCUGAUGAAGACCAAAAGACAGCCCCCCUGACGUUCAUCUUUUUUGCUACCUCCAAAGACCAACCCAUGUUCCCAUCUGCAAUGAAACAAUCAAUUUUUUCAUCUUCUCUACUGUUGAUCUCUUCUAUGAGCUUCUCCAGCUUCCCCGGCAUAACCUGUAAAAAAUUUUCAAUUAGCUUUCCGAAAUCGUUUCUAUCUUCCCAGGGUUCCAUCCCAUCUGGGAUCGAAACCAAACGGAUUUGCUCCUCUAGAUAAUUCUUUCCCUGCAAUGAUUCCACUACCCGCUUGUGAUAAUAAUCCGUAUUAACGAAUGUGACUCGGAAGCCAUGUUUUGCCAGACAUUGUGAAAACUCCAGUAAAGGAAUUACAUGGCCUUGUGCUGGACCAGGCAUCACCAAAACGUGUGGGCUGCUCAUUUCCUUUUUUAUUUUUACCUCACUGGUUUGGUUUCUAUCAACCUUGUGCUUUUAUAGGGAUUGUGAGGAGCAGCUCAGCAGCCCAUGUUCGGUUUUCUGUCUUUCUUUUCGUACAAGUAGUAUGUUAUAUGUGUUUAAUUUUGAACCUCAAGCUGGUUAGUGGUUAUCUUCUUAUCUCCCGUUUUUAAGUUCUUUUUGUUCACCCCUUUGUUUUGUUUCCUUCUGCGGUUUGGGUGAUAUGUUUGCUUUUGAACAAACUGCGCCGUUAGAUCCAACGUUUAAAGCAGGAUGCUCGGCUCCAACUUUUCUGGACCCCAAUUUUUAAUGCUCUGUCUACAAUAACUUUUCUGGUUAGUGGUUAUCUUCUUAUCUAUGGUACAGAUUCUGUAACGAACAUCUCCCGUCAUCCCACCAUCCCAUUUUGUAUUGUUUAGUUUCUCACUCCACAUCCAGCCACAUCCAACGGCUGAUGCUGCAGUCUGUAGCUUACAGAUUCUGUAAGCUAGUCAAGUCCUAACUAAAUAAGGUAACUAAAACAAUUUUUCACAUCCUUCCACUAGCAUCUGCUCAAUAUAUAAUAUUUUAAUUUGCAACACACGAGUGGUUUUGAUUACGGGGAGGGUUGGCAAUUUAUAGGUUUGGGCCGGGUUUUCUCAAGAUCAGAUCCAUAUAAUCGAUAUGAGGUUCAGGUCCUGUGAAUGUUCAUCCAACUUGAGCGGGCUUGGGCUUGGGACUUCAAUAAUUUUGUUAAAUAAAUUUUUAAUUAAGUUGUAUGUUAAAAAAAUUUAAAUUAAGAUGAUUAUUAUUAUUAAACAAAAUAAAUAUUAAUUGCUCCCUUGAAUGGGCCUGAACCAGUCACCUCUAAGCAAAUAUUUGUAUUUUUUUUCUUUAUUCCUUUUUCUCUCUUUUUAUUAAUUAUUAUUGUAAAUUAAAAUUAUUUAUUUUUUAGAUAUUAAUUAUGUUUAUGCAUUGUAAUUUACACAGAAGCUUAAGACUCAUGUUUAUUAAAAAUGAUGUUAAUCCAGAAUGGAACGAGAAAUUUAACUCUUUCAAUUAAAAAUGAUUUUUUAAUUUAUAAAUUAAAGAGCCCAAACUUUUUCCAAAAGCCUUUAACCCCGAGUGAGCUUUAAAUUUUUUAGCCAUAUCCAUGAUUUUAUGAUGCUAGGUCCAACCCAUACUUUUUUGCCGACCCUAAUUAUGGGUGAUACUCUAGCUUAGGAUUUUUAUUUCAAUUCUAUUCGAAUCAAAUUAAAUAUGUAAAGGAAUGAAAUUAUUAAUUUAUUUAAUAAAUAAGCAAAUUUAUUUUGAUUCAUUAAAUAAACGAUCAAACCUAGGUUUGAGUUCACUAAUUCAAUUAUUCGUUUAAAAUUUGUUUACUAAUCAGGUCAUAAAUGAAUAGAAUAAUAAAUGACAUUUUUAACAUAAUUACUUGUUUUCCAUUAAAAUUCAAAAAUCUUGUUAAUACAUUUUCAAAGUAAAUUAGUUUUGUAAUUAUGAAAAGAUAAUAAGCCAAAAAAGAAAAUGAAAGCAAAGGCAUCAUUACUCAUUAGCCGACCCUAGCUCCACUCCUAGUUUACUUAUAUAGGAUAACGGAUUUGACUAAUUGUGAAAGUUCACUUGCAUUACUUAAGCAAUUUCUUCAUGAGCAUGUUCCUUUAUAAUAAUGCUAGUAUCUAAACCAGGCACUGGGGAUCCCUUCUCACUCGCUUCAUGCAAAUGCCCAGCAACCAUGUCUCCACCAACAUCACUGAUGUCCCCAAAAAUCAAAAUAAGAAUCCCGAUCGUGGCAGCCAAAAAUGAAACCCCAAAAGCAGUGCUCACAUUUCCACUGAUCGCUGAUGCCACAGCAAAGCCAGUACAAGUUCCUAGUGCUUUUACCCACGAGUGCCAUACAGAAAAAGCACCUUCUUUGCCAUGUGAUGUACAAUCUAGCAACAAAACUCUCCCAAAAGCAUGCAAAAGCCCUGCAGAAGUGCUUUGAAUUGCAGCAAAAAGCAGUACAUGGUGCCUCUGCCAGUUCUUUCCUUGGAGUAGAAUCCCGUACCUGAAGUCAACAGAGCUAAGAGGAAACCCAGAAAUUGCAUUCUCACAGCAUCUGCUUUGAUAACAUGUUGUAACGGAUGCAGUAGUGUCGUUGAAGAUGAUGGUAAUAUGAAGUAAAUUAUCCAUAAGUAGAGGAAAAGUAAAAAAAUAGCCCCAGUGAAAAUGCACAUUGAUGAAAAUCAUGACAUGAAAAUUACAAUCAGGCUUGUAAUUGCAUGAGGAUUUUUAAAAAGGGACAGUGAAUAUGAUUCGGGCAUAGAGGAGGUUGCGUUGGUGAUUGCCCCUGGCUCAGUGUGACAAUAUGGAGCAUGCCAACGAGCCAUUUGAGGACCCUGAAAAUGGACACAAUCCAGAGGCUAACAAAUGGGGCCUUUGUGUUCCUAAGCAUAUGGUAAGUGAAUGCUGAGAAAAUGGCAGAGCCUAAGCCACCACCAGCAGUGGCGUAUACCGAGAACCAGCCUGAGACCCCUCUUCUAGUUGGGGAUUGGCUAAGUUUAAGUGUUGGUCCAGUGUAGCCGCGAGCCAUAAGACCAAGAUGGCGAGUGUGGGAGGCUGAAGCAACAAUGUAUAAUGCAACAAUAGCUGCAAUAUAAAAUGGGAAGAUGCAUGGGGUUUUAAUGAAGCCAACAUGGAGACAAAAGAGGGAACCGAUGGCACUUGCAGCCCUAGCAAUGAGUUGUGGGUUGUAGCCAUGGUCAAGUUGCUUGGAGAUCAAGCCAAGGAAGGGACUAGCCAGAAUUAGGCCUAUAGCCCAUGAAAUUGAAGUCCAUUCCAUUGCUGAUAGAUUCAGAUUAUUCGUUGAUAUUGAUGUGUGUGUUAGUCAAUCAUACCUCCAAUAUAUGAAAAAUAUUUCAUCAUGCUAAAUAUGGACACAUUCAAAACUGACCCUCUGUCUAGUUUAACUGGCCAUGAAUGCGCUUUAUACCCGCGGUCACUCAAGUUUAAGUAAUAAUAAAUCAAGAGUAAGAGUUAAUGAAUUAAUUAAAGGAGAAUGAAUGAAACUUUAUUCCCACUAAGGUCUAAGAAGUUGUUUUUGUUCUUUGGGUUCCGAUAAAUUUUUAAUAGCAUAAUCUGUAAAUCUCUCAAUAUAAUCAUUUUGUAUAUGAAAAUUUCACAUUCACUUAAACAAUAUUUUUUUCUUGUCAAUAUUUUGAGCCAAAUGGUAAUUAAGAGUGAGAAAUUCAUUCUCCCAUAAUAAAAUUAAUAUGCAUAAUUGCAUCUUUUACGUUUUUUACUCUUUAACAGUCUUGGAAUCAAUUCGAUCUUUAAUCCAAUUUUUUGUGAAAAUUACACUCAUGUGCUUUGUAUAUAUAGAAUUUUGAUUGAAUAUUCUACUAAGUAACAAUCGAUGUAGCUAGAAAAAGAACUUACAGUUUGAUCUCUCCGAGAAUACAAGCAAUGCCCCUAGGGGUUUGUCGCCAACCUUGAUCAUCAUCAUCAUCAUCAUCAUUUUUAGAGACAAUUUCACUGAUGAUGAGAGGAAAAACAACGGGCACAACCGUUGUAACAAUGAAGUGUCCAAAUUUCAAGCUUCGAUGGCUUUUCUCGCAGCCCUGAGUAGGCCAUAUAAGCUCCCUCGGACCUCUCAAUUUUCAUUGCAGCAUCGUGUGCCUCAGGCAUGUCUUCAUUCACUUUCUGAUCCUCUACUGAUACCGAUAUUCCUUCAUCAUCACUUAGAACCUCAUGUUUUCUUUCUGCUGCCACCGCUGCUGCCAUAUUCACAUAUUAGUACCAAUUUGGAGGUUGCUUUGUGAAGUUAAAAAAAGGAGCUGAAUUGGCCAGACAUAUAUGUGUAAGUCUCAUUCUUUUUAACUUAUUUGUCUUCUCUCUUUAACGGCAAUGCCAAUUUUAGCAUCGCAUUCUGCUACAACUCAUGCUGAUCAAAGUGUUUCAUAUGAUUUCAAUUUUCCUCAUCACUUCUUUUGCACAGCAAUGAUCGAAUUCCCAGUGUAGAUUCCUUCAUCUGGAGCAAGGCGUUCUGAGCAGUGCUGCAAACAUCCAAGAUCAUAAAAGAUCCAUUUAACAGCUCAUCAACCCAUUUCUUCUUCUGGUGGCCGUUGGCUAAAGCUUGUUGAACGAGGGGCAAUUGAAGUGUUUUUUUUUUUCAACAGAAUCGCAUGAAUCUUGAAGGCAAUUUAAUUCAUGGCCUAAUGAUGAAGUAGAAACAGCUUGAGAAGUCCUUAAUCUUUACAAAUGCUCUUCAACUUCUGAAGUCUUUGAGUGCGAUCUUGUGGAAAGCUGUUUGAGCGAGUAUGGUAAGAGGCAGCCAUUGCUUUUUUUACUUUGAAUUAGAAGGUUAGAAGUUGAUUACCUUGUGCUCAAAUCUCAAUAUAUAUUGCACGAGAUGAGGGAACAAGAGGUAUGUCAUCCUCUUAAAAUAAAAAGAAACGAUAACAUGAUUUCGAGCCUGAUCUAAAUAUUGUAUCGGCUACUUUUAGGCUUAGUCUCCUCCCACACCAGCAUCCUAUCUCAGCUUUUUUAGCCACAAAUCUCACUAGUAUCUUCUCAUAAGCUAAUACUAAAUAAACAAAUGUUUCUGAGUGAUCCAUAAAAUAGGCAAUACAAGGAUGGCAUCAAUUCUGUUUCCUCUUCUAAAAUGCAAGAGACGCUAAUCCAGUUUGGCUUGGCUCCCCGCGGGAAAUAGGCAGAAUUGAUUUAUUUGAACUGGAUAUAAUAUGCAAAAUCUGCAGUGCAUGGGUAGUUAUGCCGCCAAAUUAAAGCAGGCCCAAAAAAGAUCUGCGCUGUUCAUUGCAGGCAUAUUUGGUGCCAAAUGAAUCGCUUGUUUCUUAAGAGACUGACUCCUCACACUAUAGUAACAACUAAUAACAUUCAUUGUCUGCAUUGAAAAAAAUUAACUGCAUAGGAAAACAAAUUAAAUUAAAACUCAGUUAAAUAAAAUAUUCCUAAACCCUAUAGACUUAAUUAAAAAAACUGAAAAAAAUGCAUGUUACAAUGGCCAAGGUAUCCUUCUAUAAUUGUCUACGAAGGUAGUAUUUUUUGAAUUAACCGCCCAUUACUGGGGAAUUAUGUGCCAGGGCGUUUGUCUUUACCCAUUCAAGGAAAUUCUGAAAUGUCUUGCGAGAGGAACCACCUUCUCUGAUGCUGCUCAUGGCUUUUUCCUUGAGUUCCAAAGCCCGUGCUUUAAAAUCUUGAUGACCAAGCACUUGAUCCACCUUGUUCUUAAUUUCUUCUCUUGUAAUGAUGCCACUUUCGUUUUUGUCAAACCUCAAUCCCACCUUCCAAAUAUCACAAAUGUAUUUCUCGUUCAGGAAUUGUUCAGCAAAAUAUGGCCAGCACAAGAAAGGAAUGCCAUUGCUAACACCUUCCAUGGUGGAAUUCCAACCACAAUGGCUCAGGAAACAGGCAAUAGAAGGAUGGUUAAGAACCUUCUGCUGAGGUGCCCAGCCGAUCAUCCGUCCUCGAGCAGAAACUCUCUCUUGGAAUCCGUCUGGGUAUCUAUCAUUUGCAUCAGUGGUAAUAUCUGGCCUUACAACCCAUAAAAAUGGUCUGUUGCAGAGUUCUAGUCCAAAUGCCAAUUCUUGAAACUGAACUUGGUCAAGAAUUGUAAAGCUGCCAAAAGCAGCAUAAAGGACAGAGCUCGGUUGCUGCUGGUCUAGCCACUCCAAACAGCUUGAGUCUUCGCGCCAGAAGUGUCCUGCUGAAUUCCCUAGACGGUUGCCAGCCAAAAGUGGUCCUAUUGGCAGAAGUUCCGGAACCACGGUGAAUGCCUCAGACUCGAGCUCAUACGUUGAGUGACACAACUGGAAAUUUACCGCUCUCAUUGCUCUCAUGUUUCUAUCCAGUAAAUCAAAAAUAAUCUUUUGCGUGUUCAAGUCACCAAUAUUUGUCCAAAAACAGUCUCCAGAGUUCAUUUCAGGCAUAUUUGGUGCAAUCCGAAACAUCUGCUUGCUCAUAGGAGUUCCUGAAGUUGAAUACAAACAAAAAAAAUUGCAAUAGCAUAAAAAAAAACUACUACUUUGACAUGCAUCAAAAUUAAAGCCUGCUGGAGGAAAGUCAGGAA
RNAcentral lists this long non-coding RNA (17349 nucleotides) under Citrus sinensis (sweet orange). RNAcentral describes it as "long non-coding RNA (CSIN_LNC001231)". Lineage: Eukaryota; Viridiplantae; Streptophyta; Magnoliopsida; Sapindales; Rutaceae. The record is from RNAcentral.